AUCCAACUGAUGAGUCUCAAGUAGGACAAAAUGUGCAUCCUGGAU
This is a non-coding RNA of Schistosoma haematobium, 45 nucleotides long. Lineage: Eukaryota; Metazoa; Platyhelminthes; Trematoda; Strigeidida; Schistosomatidae. The record is from Rfam.